RNAcentral lists this ribosomal RNA (468 nucleotides) under uncultured bacterium. Its description in RNAcentral is "partial 16S ribosomal RNA". It matches the Rfam family "Bacterial small subunit ribosomal RNA", at positions 28 to 507 of the family's 1533-position model. The record is from RNAcentral.
GACGAACGCUGGCGGCGUGCUUAACACAUGCAAGUCGAACGGAAAGGCCCUGCUCUUGUGGGGUGCUCGUGUGGCGAACGGGUGAGUAACACGUGAGUAACCUGCCCUUGACUUUGGGAUAAAUUCAGGAAACUGGGGAUAAUAUCGGAUAGGAGCUCCUGCUGCAUGGGGGGGGUUGGAAAGAUUCGGCGGUUGGGGAUGGACUCGCGGCUUAUGAGCUUGUUGGGGGGGUAGUGGCUUACCAAGUCUUUGACGGAUAGCCGGCCUGGGAGGGUGACCGGCCACAUUGGGACUGAGAGACGGACCAGUAGCCUACGGGAGGCAGCAGGGGGGAGUAUUGCACAACGGGCGGAAGCCUGAGGCAGCAACGUCGCGUGCGUGAUGACGUCUUUCGGGUUGUAAACCGCUUUGGCCUGUGACGAAGCGUGAGUGACGGUAAUUGGUAAAGAAGCACCGGCUAACUACGUG